RNAcentral lists this ribosomal RNA (1433 nucleotides) under uncultured bacterium. RNAcentral's name for it is "bacterial SSU rRNA". It matches the Rfam family "Bacterial small subunit ribosomal RNA". The record is from RNAcentral.
AGAGUUUGAUCAUGGCUCAGAACGUACGCUGGCGGCACGCCUAACACAUGCAAGUCGAACGAAGUAGCAAUACUUAGUGGCAGACGGGUGAGUAACAUGUAGGUAUCUGCCCUUUGGCCUGGAAUAACACGAGGAAACUUGUGCUAAUACCGGAUAAGUCUUUACGGAGAAAGCUUUAUGCACCAUUGGAUGAGCCUGCACUUGAUUAGUUUGUUGGUGGGGUAAUGGCCUACCAAGACUGUGAUCAAUAGCUGAUUUGAGAGGAUGAUCAGCCACAUUGGGACUGAGACACGGCCCAAACUCCUACGGGAGGCAGCAGUGGGGAAUCUUGCACAAUGGAGGAAACUCUGAUGCAGCGAUGCCGCGUGAGUGAAGAAGGCCCUUGGGUUGUAAAGCUCUUUCGUCGGGGAAGAAAAUGACUGUACCCGAAUAAGAAGGUCCGGCUAACUUCGUGCCAGCAGCCGCGGUAAUACGAAGGGACCUAGCGUAGUUCGGAAUUACUGGGCUUAAAGAGUUCGUAGGUGGUUGAAAAAGUUAGUGGUGAAAUCCCAGAGCUUAACUCUGGAACUGCCAUUAAAACUUUUCAGCUAGAGUAUGAUAGAGGAAAGCAGAAUUUCUAGUGUAGAGGUGAAAUUCGUAGAUAUUAGAAAGAAUACCAAUUGCGAAGGCAGCUUUCCGGAUCAUUACUGACACUGAGGAACGAAAGCAUGGGUAGCGAAGAGGAUUAGAUACCCUCGUAGUCCAUGCCGUAAACGAUGUGUGUUAGACGUUGGAAAUUUAUUUUCAGUGUCGCAGCGAAAGCGAUAAACACACCGCCUGGGGAGUACGACCGCAAGGUUAAAACUCAAAUGAAUUGACGGGGACCCGCACAAGUAGUGGAGCAUGUGGUUUAAUUCGAAGAUACGCGCAGAACCUUACCAACACUUGACAUGUUCGUCGCGACUCUAAGAGAUUAGAGUUUUCGGUUCGGCCGGACGAAACACAGGUGCUGCAUGGCUGUCGUCAGCUCGUGUCGUGAGAUGUUGGGUUAAGUCCCGCAACGAGCGCAACCCUCACUUUUAGUUGCCAUCAUUAAGUUGGGCACUCUGAAAGAACUGCCAGUGAUAAGCUGGAGGAAGGUGGGGAUGACGUCAAGUCCUCAUGGCCCUUACGUGUUGGGCUACACACGUGCUACAAUGGUAUCUACAACAGGAAGCAAGACUGCGAAGUUAAGCAAAUCCCUAAAAGAUACCUCAGUUCGGAUUGCACUCUGCAACUCGAGUGCAUGAAGCUGGAAUUACUAGUAAUCGUGGAUCAGCGUGCCACGGUGAAUGCGUUCCCGGGUCUUGUACACACCGCCCGUCACACCAUGGGAGUUGGUUCUACCUUAAGGCAAGGUUUUAAACCCUUGACCACGGUAUAGUCAGCGACUGGGGUGAAGUCGUAACAAGGUA